UACCAACAAUACAUAUAACAAUAACACCGGGGCCAAAAUUUACCAACGCAUUCACCUCUAAUGGAUUUCUCAGUGAUGCAACUCAAACUGCAAAGGCUAUCACUUAAGCAAAGCCCAGUUCUCGUUUUGCUUCGAUUCCUACACACCUUCAUACCCUUCUCCGCUGAGCCUUCAAGCUUCUGAUCAGCAUAUAUUUCUGUACAUUUGUCAUUCAUCAAAAUAAGUUAAAUAGAGCGUGAAUUAAGAGAAAUUAGGAAGAUA
Molecule: long non-coding RNA, 261 nt
Filed under: Salvia miltiorrhiza (redroot sage)
Lineage: Eukaryota; Viridiplantae; Streptophyta; Magnoliopsida; Lamiales; Lamiaceae
Description: long non-coding RNA (SMIL_LNC009773)
Source: RNAcentral